GAUGAACGCUAGCUACAGGCUUAACACAUGCAAGUCGAGGGGAAACGGCAUCGAAAGCUUGCUUUUGAUGGGCGUCGACCGGCGCACGGGUGAGUAACGCGUAUCCAACCUGCCCAUCACUUGGGAAUAACCUUGCGAAAGUAAGACUAAUGCCCAAUGACAUCCCACGAAGGCAUCCGAAUGGGAUUAAAGAUUUAUCGGUGAUGGAUGGGGAUGCGUCUGAUUAGCUUGUUGGCGGGGUGACGGCCCACCAAGGCAACGAUCAGUAGGGGUUCUGAGAGGAAGGUCCCCCAAAUUGGAACUGAGACACGGGCCAAACUCCUACGGGAGGCAGCAGUGAGGAAUAUUGGUCAAUGGGCGAGAGCCUGAACCAGCCAAGUAGCGUGCAGGAUGACGGCCCUAUGGGUUGUAAACUGCUUUUAUAAGGGAAUAAAGUGGGUCACGUGUGACUUUUUGCAUGUACCUUAUGAAUAAGGACCGGCUAAUUCCGUG
Molecule: ribosomal RNA, 492 nt
Filed under: uncultured bacterium
Lineage: Bacteria
Description: partial 16S ribosomal RNA
Rfam family: Bacterial small subunit ribosomal RNA
Source: RNAcentral